CUUCGUCUCCCUGAUGGGAAGGUGACCACUAGGACAGUCGACAUUACAACGUAAACAGAUGGUCUGCCUUCGUCUCCCUGAUGGGAAGGUGACCACUAGGACAGUCGACAUUACAACGUAAACAGAUGGUCUGCCUUCGUCUCCCUGAUGGGAAGGUGACCACUAGGACAGUCGACAUUACAACGUAAACAGAUGGUCUGCCUUCGUCUCCCUGAUGGGAAGGUGACCACUAGGACAGUCGACAUUACAACGUAAACAGAUGGUCUGCCUUCGUCUCCCUGAUGGGAAGGUGACCACUAGGACAGUCGACAUUACAACGUAAACAGAUGGUCUGCCUUCGUCUCCCUGAUGGGAAGGUGACCACUAGGACAGUCGACAUUACAACGUAAACAGAUGGUCUGCCUUCGUCUCCCUGAUGGGAAGGUGACCACUAGGACAGUCGACAUUACAACGUAAACAGAUGGUCUGCCUUCGUCUCCCUGAUGGGAAGGUGACCACUAGGACAGUCGACAUUACAACGUAAACAGAUGGUCUGCCUUCGUCUCCCUGAUGGGAAGGUGACCACUAGGACAGUCGACAUUACAACGUAAACAGAUGGUCUGCCUUCGUCUCCCUGA
Oncorhynchus keta (chum salmon) is the source of this 617-nucleotide long non-coding RNA. RefSeq lists it as uncharacterized. Lineage: Eukaryota; Metazoa; Chordata; Actinopteri; Salmoniformes; Salmonidae. The record is from RefSeq and is a predicted model, not a curated record. The transcript has 3 exons.